Molecule: ribosomal RNA, 427 nt
Filed under: uncultured delta proteobacterium
Lineage: Bacteria; Deltaproteobacteria
Description: bacterial SSU rRNA
Rfam family: Bacterial small subunit ribosomal RNA
Source: RNAcentral
GAGUUUGAUCUUGGCUCAGAACGAACGCUGGCGGCGUGCCUAACACAUGCAAGUCGAGGGAGAAAAGGGGCUUCGGCCCCCCAGUAAACCGGCGCACGGGUGAGUAACACGUAGGUAACGUACCCUGGAGUCUGGGAUAACCAGUCGAAAGAUUGGCUAAUACCAGAUACGACUAUGAGGGCUCCGGUCCUUAUAGUGAAAGAUGGCCUCUAUUUAUAAGCUAUCACUCCUGGAUCGGCCUGCGCACCAUUAGCUAGUUGGUGAGGUAAUGGCUCACCAAGGCUGAGAUGGUUAGCUGGUCUGAGAGGAUGGCCAGCCACACUGGGACUGAGACACGGCCCAGACUCCUACGGGAGGCAGCAGUGGGGAAUAUUGCGCAAUGGGGGAAACCCUGACGCAGCGACGCCGCGUGGGUGAUGAAGGCCUU